Molecule: ribosomal RNA, 430 nt
Filed under: Bacillota bacterium
Lineage: Bacteria; Bacillati; Bacillota
Description: Firmicutes bacterium partial 16S ribosomal RNA
Rfam family: Bacterial small subunit ribosomal RNA
Source: RNAcentral
UGGGGAAUAUUGGACAAUGGGCGCAAGCCUGAUCCAGCCAUGCCGCGUGUGUGAAGAAGGCCUUUUGGUUGUAAAGCACUUUAAGCGAGGAGGAGGCUACUUGGAUUAAUACUCUAGGAUAGUGGAAGUUACUCGCAGAAUAAGCACCGGCUAACUCUGUGCCAGCAGCCGCGGUAAUACAGAGGGUGCGAGCGUUAAUCGGAUUUACUGGGCGUAAAGCGUGCGUAGGCGGCUUCUUAAGUCGGAUGUGAAAUCCCUGAGCUUAACUUAGGAAUUGCAUUCGAUACUGGGAAGCUAGAGUAUGGGAGAGGAUGGUAGAAUUCCAGGUGUAGCGGUGAAAUGCGUAGAGAUCUGGAGGAAUACCGAUGGCGAAGGCAGCCAUCUGGCCUAAUACUGACGCUGAGGUACGAAAGCAUGGGGAGCAAACAGG